Molecule: ribosomal RNA, 499 nt
Filed under: uncultured bacterium
Lineage: Bacteria
Description: partial 16S ribosomal RNA
Rfam family: Bacterial small subunit ribosomal RNA
Source: RNAcentral
GACGAACGCUGGCGGCGUGCCUAAUACAUGCAAGUCGAGCGAAGUUUUUCUGGUUCUUGCACUAGAAAAACUUAGCGGCGAACGGGUGAGUAACACGUAAAGAACCUGCCUCAUAGACUGGGACAACUAUUGGAAACGAUAGCUAAUACCGGAUAACAGUAUUUCUCGCAUGAGAGAUAUUUAAAAGUUGGUUAUGCUAACACUAUGAGAUGGCUUUGCGGUGCAUUAGCUAGUUGGUGGGGUAAAGGCCCACCAAGUCGACGAUGCAUAGCCGACCGGAGAGGGUGAUCGGCCACACGGGGACUGAGACACGGCCCUGACUACUGAGGGAGGGAGCAGUAGGGAAUCUUCCGCAAUGGGCGAGAGCCUGACGGAGCAACGCCACGUGAGUGAAAAAGGAGUUCGGUGCGUAAAGCUCUGUUGUUAGGGAAGAAUGGAUAUGUAGUAACUAUACGUGUGAGAGACGGUACCUAGCCAGAAAGCCACGGCUAACUACGUG